Neofelis nebulosa (Clouded leopard) is the source of this 1270-nucleotide RNA transcript. It is a transcript of the gene named TPD52 like 2, with no coding region annotated. The record is from RefSeq and is a predicted model, not a curated record. The transcript has 10 exons. Lineage: Eukaryota; Metazoa; Chordata; Mammalia; Carnivora; Felidae.
GCUGAUUACGUAAUGCCGCGGUGGCUGAGGCGGUUCCGCUGGCUGCUCUGUGCGCAGCGAGCGAGUCCUGGUGCGGCCAGCUCGGCUCCUACAGCGCCCGACACCCCGGUCCCGACCCCAGCCGCGGCCCGGCCGCCGCCUGAACAUGGACUCCGCAGGCCAAGAUAUCAACCUGAAUUCUCCUAACAAAGGUCUGCUGUCCGACUCCAUGACAGAUGUCCCUGUCGACACCGCGGUGGCCGCCCAGACUCCUGCUGUUGAGGGUCUGACGGAGGCUGAGGAGGAGGAGCUUAGGGCUGAGCUCGCAAAGGUGGAAGAGGAAAUUGUCACUCUGCGCCAGGUCCUGGCAGCCAAGGAGAGGCACUGUGGAGAGCUGAAAAGGAAGCUGGGCCUCUCCGCCUUGGAGGGCCUGAAACAGAACCUGUCCAGGAGCUGGCGUGAUGUGCAGGUCUCUACCGCCUAUAUGAAAACCUCUGAGAAACUUGGCGAGUGGAAUGAGAAAGUGACCCAGUCAGACCUCUACAAGAAGACUCAGGAAACUUUCUCUCAGGCGGGACAGAAGACGUCCGCUGCCCUGUCCACUGUGGGCUCUGCCAUCAGCAGAAAGCUCGGAGAUAUGAGAUGGGACGCCAUCGCCGCUGCACUGUGGGACACCUGCUUUGGCCACCUGAGCCGUGCUGUGGGCCCGUCCGUUCUCCCACUCGUUUAGUCAUUUGCUGUGAAGUCGAGUAAGGACAUCUGACAGCUAUUUGUACCAAAGGUAUUUUAAAGCCCCAGGUCGAGGUCUUCUUAGUUUCCUAUUUUAAAGCUCUCUCUCAGCACUGUCCCAUUUCUGGGGCAACUUUGGAGGCCAGCGAGAGGAGCCCGGGGUCCUUUCCUCCCGGGGCCAGGGGCCCUUCUGUGUGUGGUGGCCAGAGCUCACGCACCCUGCCAGGCCGCGUCUCUGUGUGGGUGAGCUGACGGGUGUGCUGAACGCCAGGCUCAUCCCCUUGGUAACUCCUGCUUCCUUCUCUGCUUCUAACACGCUCCCAAGCAGCAACUCUUCAAUCCGCCAUUCGAUAAGUAUGCCAGCCAUGAGGAAUUCUGCGACCUUUAAGUCCUUUGAAGACCGAGUUGGGACCAUAAAGUCUAAGGUCGUAGGUGGCAGAGAGAAUGGCAGUGACCACCUUCCCUCCCCGACGGGGAGUGAUGACAAGCCUCUGCCCGACCACACGCCCUUCUAAGCCCGUCGCAGCUUUGCCCAGCCUCGGAGCACGUGCAGGCCCACCCG